This 63-nucleotide transfer RNA is filed under the name Pedipes pedipes. RNAcentral describes it as "tRNA-Pro". The record is from RNAcentral. Lineage: Eukaryota; Metazoa; Mollusca; Gastropoda; Ellobiida; Ellobiidae.
UCAAAAACGGUUUUGGAAAACGUUAACUUUGGAAGUUAGAGGCUGGGGCAACUCAUUUUUGAA